Molecule: ribosomal RNA, 490 nt
Filed under: uncultured bacterium
Lineage: Bacteria
Description: partial 16S ribosomal RNA
Rfam family: Bacterial small subunit ribosomal RNA
Source: RNAcentral
AGUGAACGCUGGCGGUAGGCCUAACACAUGCAAGUCGAACGGCAGCACAGUAAGAGCUUGCUCUUACGGGUGGCGAGUGGCGGACGGGUGAGGAAUACAUCGGAAUCUACUUUUUCGUGGGGGAUAACGUAGGGAAACUUACGCUAAUACCGCAUACGACCUACGGGUGAAAGCAGGGGAUCUUCGGACCUUGCGCGAUUGAAUGAGCCGAUGUCGGAUUAGCUAGUUGGCGGGGUAAAGGCCCACCAAGGCGACGAUCCGUAGCUGGUCUGAGAGGAUGAUCAGCCACACUGGAACUGAGACACGGUCCAGACUCCUACGGGAGGCAGCAGUGGGGAAUAUUGGACAAUGGGCGCAAGCCUGAUCCAGCCAUACCGCGUGGGUGAAGAAGGCCUUCGGGUUGUAAAGCCCUUUUGUUGGGAAAGAAAAGCAGCAGGUUAAUACCCCGCUGUUCUGACGGGACCCAGAAUAAGCACCGGCUAACUUCGUG